AAACCGUUCAGGGGUAAACCUGAGAAACCCAAAAGAUCGAAUGGGGAGAUUCAGCGUCAGCCGCUUGUUGGCUUGCGUGCGGCUCGCGAUGUCGAACGCCUCGGCGUUUGGCACGCGGUCGCUGCGUCAUGUCCGGCGCGGUCGGCGUGCACUUCUCCCCUAGUAGGACGUCGCGACCCGUUGGGUGUCGAUCCACGGCCCGCGAGGUUGACCGUAGCGCAGGAGCGUGUCAAAAGCGUUUCGCGCGUUGCGGACCCGCGGUCGCCCGAUCGACUGCCCGGCGGUAAAGAUUUUUUUCUCAUUUACGGUAUUGGGCCGCGCUUCGGCGCGUUUUUUCAAUGGCUCGUCGGCAGAUUGGCCUCGCUCGGAUUUACGGACCUGGUGCCGUUGUCGGGUGCUUGGCCGGUCGUUACGCCGACGGUGUCCUCGAACGGGCCCGAAAAGGCAAAAAAUUUAUUUUUUGCCGUUACCGGUCAGCGACGCUACUGCUUUGGGUACUUUCAGGACCCGUCUUGAAACACGGACCAAGGAGUCUAACAUGUGCGCGAGUCAUUGGGACUUGAAACAAAGCCUAAAGGCGCAAUGAAAGUGAAGGUCCGCUUUGAUGCGCGACCGAGGGAGGAUGGCUCCCGCUACGACGCGGAGCCCGCACUCCCGGGGCGUCUCGUGCUCAUUGCGAGCUGAGGCGCACCCAGAGCGUACACGUUGGGACCCGAAAGAUGGUGAACUAUGCCUGGUCAGGACGAAGUCAGGGGAAACCCUGAUGGAGGUCCGUAGCGAUUCUGACGUGCAAAUCGAUCGUCGGAACUGGGUAUAGGGGCGAAAGACUAAUCGAACCAUC
This 841-nucleotide ribosomal RNA is filed under the name Megaphragma sp. Its description in RNAcentral is "partial large subunit ribosomal RNA". It matches the Rfam family "Eukaryotic large subunit ribosomal RNA", at positions 402 to 944 of the family's 3401-position model. Lineage: Eukaryota; Metazoa; Arthropoda; Insecta; Hymenoptera; Trichogrammatidae. The record is from RNAcentral.